GAUGAACGCUGGCGGCGUGCCUAAUACAUGCAAGUCGAGCGAAAAGAUGAGGUCCUUGCUCCUCUGACGUUAAAGGCGGACGGGAGAGUAACACGUGGAUAACCUACCUAUAAGACAGGGAUAACUUCGGGAAACUGGAGCUAAUACCGGAUAAUAUAUUGAAGCGCAUGGGUCAAUAGUGAAAGACGGUUUUGCUGUCACUUAUAGAUGGAUCCGCGCCGCAUUAGCUAGUUGGUACGGUAACGGCUUACCAAGGCAAGGAUGCGUAGCCGACCUGGGAGGGUGAUCGGCCACACUGGAACGGAGACACGGUCCAUGCGCCUGCGGGAGGCAGCAGUAGCGAAUCUGCCGCAGUAGUCGGAAGCCUUGCGCAGCAACGCCGCGUGAGUUGUGAAGGUCUUCGGAUCGUAAAACUCUGUUAUUAGGUAAGAACAAAUUUGUAAGUAACUAUGCACUUCUUGACGGUACCUAAUCAGAAAGCCACGGCUAACUACGUG
This 497-nucleotide ribosomal RNA is filed under the name uncultured bacterium. RNAcentral describes it as "partial 16S ribosomal RNA". It matches the Rfam family "Bacterial small subunit ribosomal RNA", at positions 28 to 507 of the family's 1533-position model. The record is from RNAcentral.